RNAcentral lists this ribosomal RNA (179 nucleotides) under Rubus crataegifolius. RNAcentral's name for it is "5.8S ribosomal RNA". The stretch from base 10 to 165 matches the Rfam family "5.8S ribosomal RNA". From Rfam's summary of the family: 5.8S ribosomal RNA (5.8S rRNA) is a component of the large subunit of the eukaryotic ribosome. It is transcribed by RNA polymerase I as part of the 45S precursor that also contains 18S and 28S rRNA. Lineage: Eukaryota; Viridiplantae; Streptophyta; Magnoliopsida; Rosales; Rosaceae. The record is from RNAcentral.
UGUCUAAACGACUCUCGGCAACGGAUAUCUCGGCUCUCGCAUUGAUGAAGAACGUAGCGAAAUGCGAUACUUGGUGUGAAUUGCAGAAUCCCGUGAACCAUCGAGUCUUUGAACGCAAGUUGCGCCCGAAGCCAUUAGGCCGAGGGCACGCCUGCCUGGGCGUCACACGUCGUUGCCCC